This 497-nucleotide ribosomal RNA is filed under the name uncultured bacterium. RNAcentral describes it as "partial 16S ribosomal RNA". It matches the Rfam family "Bacterial small subunit ribosomal RNA", at positions 28 to 507 of the family's 1533-position model. The record is from RNAcentral.
GAUGAACGCUGGCGGCGUGCCUAGUACAGGCAAGUCGAGCGAACGGACGAGGAGCUUGCUUCUCUGAUUUUAGCGGCGGACGGGUGAGUAACACGUGGAUAACCUACCUAUAAGACUGGGAUAACUUCGGGAAACCGGAGCUAAUACCGGAUGAUAUUUUGAACCGCAUGGUUCAAAAGUGAAAGACGGUCUUGCUUUCACUUAUAGAUGGAUCCGCGCUGCAUUAGCUAGUUGGUAAGGUAACGGCUUACCAAGGCAACGAUGCAUAGCCGACCUGAGAGGGUGAUCGGCCCCACCGGAACUGCGACACGGUCCAGACUACUACCGGAGGCAGCAGUAGGGAAUCUUCCGCAAUGGUCGCAAGCCUGACGGAGCAACGCCGCGUGCGUGCUGAAGGUCUUCGGAUAGUACAACUCCGUUAUUAGGGAAGCCCAUCUGUGUACGUAACUGUGCACAUCUUGACGGUACCUACUCAGAACGCCACGGCUAACUACGUG